GAGCCGAGCUGAUUGCCUGCGUGACGAGGGCCGUGGCGGCUGGCAGCUUGGCCCGCGGUCCUGGGUAGCCCUGGAGCGGGAAAUGCCUCCUUGAGAGCGCAUGGCUUCAAGCUUCUUCCUUGCGCUCCUGAUCUUAGGCUGGUCGCUUUUACCUUUAGGUUUAAGUUGAACACAGUUCACACUGGGCGCUUCCUCCCCGUGUUUCUGGAAUUCCAGGCAACAGAUUUAACACUUUAUGAAUCUUGAAGAGCUGCACUACUGCUAAAUAUUGGAGUUAAUGCUGAUCUUUUGGAAGCCUCCGAAGGCUACGAGACUGUGAUGGGAGCCUCUGGUUUCAGUUGCCUUUCUCACACCUUAUUUUAAUACUCAAGGGUCUCACUCUGUCACUCAGGCUGGAGUGCAGUGGUGUGCAUACAGAUCACUGCAGCCUCAACCUCCUGGGCUCAAGAGAUGCUCCCACCUCAGCCUCCCAAGAAGCAUGGAUCGCCACACUGCACCUGGCUAAUUUAAAGAUAUAUACAUUUUUGUAGAGAUGGGAUCUUGCCAUGUUGACCAGGCUGGUCUUGAACUCCUGUCUCAAGCAGUCCUCCCGCCUCAGUGUGAACCACAGUGCCCAGCCCCUACUUCUUGAAAUCAUGGGUGACAGCUUGCAUAAGUAUCCUGAAGUAUUUCUUACACAGUAUCUUCUAAGGAGACCAACAUUUAUUUGAGAAGGAAAGCACCUGUUCUUCCCACAGCAGUGGCAGUAGUACAUCAACGGUGCACAGCUGAAUUGGGACGGGGCCAGGACAAAGCAGAAAUCUGCUGCAGAGACCAGGAAAGAUAAAGGAUGUUCUGUAGCAGGAUCUGGGCAAGCAGCACUCAUCCAUAUCCUUUGCAUUGCAAACAGAGGAGCUACCUCCUUCCUUUUUAUUUUCCAGUUUAUUAAUGGCUCCUAGAACCUCUGAGAACUAACUGAUUUUGACCUCUUAACAGUUGCCUUUCAACUGCCAUUCAUUCACUGCAAGCCUACUGUGUAAAUGGGCCCUGGCUAACCACUUCAGAUAUAUUGUCUCUUGUCCAGCUUCAAGUGACUCUCUAAGGGAGGAAUUAGCCCCACCUCACUAGUAUGGAAAUGGAGACUUGGAGUGAUCAAGUGACUUGCUCUGAGUUACACAGCUGGGAAGUGGUGAAGCUGGAAUUCAACUCAAGUUAUGUCUAGAUCUAAAACUCAUGCUGUUUUCUAUGCUCAAAGCUGCGUUUCAAAACUGAACUUUAGCAUGGAGUCUAUGAUGAUUGGCUCGUGUCUUUCCACCCAGCACCUAGCCCAAGGCCAAGCACAGAGAGGGCUCACAGUGGACACUUUUGGAAUGAGUAGAUUCUGUAUGGAAUGGUUGGUAAAUGAAGGCCUGGGCACGGUGUGAACAGUGUUAUGGGACAGCAGAGGGGGUGGUGGCUGAUUAGGGGAAAUGGAGAAGCCUCUGCAGAGGAACAGAGUUGAGUGAGGCCUGGAGAAAUAAGUAGUCAGAAAAAGACCGACCAAUUCAGCAUUCUCACAGCAAAGACCACUAACAGGCAAUUCACAGAACAGAAAACCCAAAGGCCAUGAAUAGGUGCUCCACAUCACCAACAGUCAGAAAAACGCAAAUUAUCUCAUGCACAGUAGAUGAGAAUACAAACUGGAAAAGUGUGUUAGGAGAGCUAUUUGGUAGCAUCUAUCACAAUUAUAAAUGAGGUAUGUUCUUAAAUUUAUGUACAAACAUUGUGAUAGAAAAAAAUGGAAAUGUUCAUUAGUAGGGAACAAACUAAACAAGAACACGUUUAUACUAUUAAAAAAUAUUAUGCCACUUUUGGCUGGGUGUGGUGACUCACGCCUGUAAGCCUAACACUUUGGGAGGCUGAGGAGGGCAGAUUUCCUGAGCCCAGGAGUUUGAGACAAGCCUGGGCAACAUAGCCAGAUGCAGUCUCUAGGGGGGAAAAAAAAAAAAAAAA
This is a long non-coding RNA of Macaca mulatta (Rhesus monkey), 1971 nucleotides long. Lineage: Eukaryota; Metazoa; Chordata; Mammalia; Primates; Cercopithecidae. The record is from Ensembl.